Molecule: ribosomal RNA, 253 nt
Filed under: uncultured bacterium
Lineage: Bacteria
Description: partial 16S ribosomal RNA
Rfam family: Bacterial small subunit ribosomal RNA
Source: RNAcentral
UACGGAGGGUGCAAGCGUUAUCCGGAUUUACUAGGUUUAAAGGGUGUGUAGGCGGGCUUUUAAGUCAGUGGUGAAAUCUCCGGGCUCAACCUGGAAACUGCCAUUGAUACUAUUAGUCUUGAAUUUUGUUGAGGUAGGCGGAAUAAGUCAUGUAGCGGUGAAAUGCAUAGAUAUGACUUAGAACACCAAUUGCGAAGGCAGCUUGCUAAACAAAUAUUGACGCUGAGGCACGAAAGCGUGGGGAUCAAACAGG